AUUGAACGCUGGCGGCAGGCCUAACACAUGCAAGUCGACCGUGUCGCGGACGGGAGUGAAGUCUGUGGGAAACUGCCUGAUGGAGGGGGAUAACCACGGGAAACUGUCGCUAAUACCCUAUCCUCUCAUAUGUGCCCAUAUGGGAUUCGCUAGUUGGUGGGGAAACGGCUCACCAAGGCGACUCUCCCUAGGUGGUCUGAGAGGAUGACCAGCCACACUGGAACUGAGACACGGUCCAGACUCCUACGGGAGGCAGCAGUGGGGAAUAUUGCACAAUGGGCGCAAGCCUGAUGCAGCCAUGCCGCGUGUAUGAAGAAGGCCGUCGGGUUGUAAAGUACUUUCAGCGGGGAGGCGUUACCCGCAGAAGAAGCACCGGCUAACUCCGUGCCAGCAGCCGCGGUAAUAC
RNAcentral lists this ribosomal RNA (406 nucleotides) under uncultured bacterium. RNAcentral's name for it is "partial 16S ribosomal RNA". It matches the Rfam family "Bacterial small subunit ribosomal RNA", at positions 30 to 526 of the family's 1533-position model. The record is from RNAcentral.